CGCCCCUCUUCUACAGAAAGUAUGAUUUUUUUUAACAUGAAAAACAUAAGUGACCCCAAAAUUUAUUAUAAGUUUUUGUAUUUUCCUUAAUGCAGCAUUGGCCCAUUGACAGGUUAAAUAUUAUACUCCCCAGUGCCUUUAUGUAAAACUGUUUUCAGUUUACAAUGCUUAUUCAAAGUCAAUAAUUUCAACAUCUGAACAUAUAAAU
RNAcentral lists this long non-coding RNA (208 nucleotides) under Mytilus galloprovincialis (Mediterranean mussel). Lineage: Eukaryota; Metazoa; Mollusca; Bivalvia; Mytilida; Mytilidae. The record is from RNAcentral.